UCUCAAGCCUAGAGAAGAAGCUAAUUGGAGGAAUACUGAACUCAGUAGCUGAAAAUAUGUUUGGUGAGUCAGAAAGAUAGUGGCUUGCUGUUCUAGUAUGGGAACUAGACUCAGGGAUCUUGACAUUCAAUCCUUCCUUUGAGCUUUUCCAUGACCUGGAAAAAAAUGCAGAUGGUUCUUUCCAUCACGUCUAUUGGAAUUGCCUUGAAUUACCUCCUUGCUGGAUCAAGUCCAUUACGAAAUGAUCAUCAUGUGAUCUUGUACAAUGUUCCCUUGGUUCUUCUUACUUUAUUUAGCAUCAGUUCAUUAGUAGUAGUAGAAGAAAAAGAAGGAGGAGAAGGAAGAAGAGGAGGAGGAAGAAAAAAGAAGGAAGAAGAAAAAAGAAGAAAGAAGGUAGAAGAAGAUGAAGAAGAAGAAAGAAGAAAGAAGAAGAAGAAGAAGAAGAAGAAGAAGAAGAAGAAGAAGAAGAAGAAGAAGAAGAAGAAUUAUCAUGCAUGGAGCAGCUCAUAGCAUUUUGAUGUCAUAGUUUGUGCUGCUAUGGGAUUCACAUGCACCAGAAAAAAAACCUUUCUCUCAGAUGGCUUAUCUGAAUUACACUAGUCAAGCUAUUCCUAAAAAAGAGGACCUAGUGAUGAGCAUGAAUCCAAACUAGGGAAAUGAUUAAUGGCAUUCUGAUCAUACAGUUCAAUUGUAAUGACAUCAGCCUCUCACCCAUUCGAGAGUAUCCAAUGGCCAAAAAUACAAAAGUUUCUUUGUAAAUGGUUUUAUUUCACUGAUAUUUACUCAGGGAGUACAUCCAGAUUAAGUUCCAUACUAAGGUCAAUAAAACAGAAUUAUAUGUUUAGAAAAACUAUCUCCAUUCAAAACCGAUAUUCACAAUCAUAGAAAAUAUUAGGUACAGCAUGACAUAGAGGACACAGCUGGCAUUGAAGGGAGAAAAGAUAGGUUCUAAUUCAGAUUCUGAUACAUAUUUGUUAUGUUACCCUGUGGAAGUCACUUUUCAUCGUGUCCUAGACGACUAAGACUGUCAACUACAGAAGAAGUAUAGACAAACAUUAAUAGUUUCCUCACCUGGGAGUUCCCUAAAUAAAUAAAAAGUUCAACCAUUCUUCCUGUCUCUUCUAUGUCCAAAGUGAGGUUGUUUGGUAAAGAGAUGACAGAAUUUUAAUAGUAUUUUAUUUUUCCAAAUACAUGGAAGGAUAAUUUUCAACAUUCAUUUUUGUAAGACUUUGUGUUCUAAAUUUUUUCUCCUCUCCUUUAUUUCACCCUCUCCAAGACAGCAAUCUGAAAUAAGUUAUACAAGUACAAUCUGUAAAUAUAUUUCUGUAGUGGUUAUAUUGUGAAAAAAAAUCAUACCGAAAGGGAAAAACAAAAAAGAAAAGCAAACAAAGAAAAAAGGUGAAAAUAUUUUGUUUCAAUCCUCAGUCUCCAUAGUUCUUUCUCUGGAGAAUAUGACAUUUUCCACUUCAAGUGUAUUGGAAUUGUCUUUGAUCAUUGUAUUGCUGAGAAGAGCUAAGUCUUUCUUGAUUGAUCAUCAUAUAAUCUUGCUGUUAUUAUGUACAAUGUUCUCCUGGUUCUGUUUACUUCAUUUAGCAUCAGUUUGUGUCUUUUCAGACUUUUCUGAAAUCAGCCUCUCCUCAUUUCUUAAAGAACAAUAAUACUUCUUUAUAUACAUAUACCAUAAGUUAUUCCCCUAUUGAGGGACAUCCAUUCAAUUUCCAAUUCUUUGUCACUACAAAUAGAAUUGCUACAAACAUUUUUGCACAUGUGGUCUUUCUUAAGAAGUGAGAAGAUUGACUUCAGAAUCAGGAAGACGUGAAUUCAAGUCUAGUGUCUGACAUAGCCUCUGCCAGUAUGACUUUGUGCAAUUUCAGCAGAUGUUUGAUGUCUAGCGCAAUUGUCUAUUAAUUUAAAUUGAAGAAGAGUUUCUAUGAGCAUUUAUUAUUUCAUUUAUUUUGUUUAAAUUCCCAGUAAAUAGAACAAGGCUUGGUAAAUGUUAAGCACUUAAUAUGUGCUUUUCUAACUGAUUUCAUUGAUAGGAGUUUCUUAUUUAGGAAUUCUCAGCACCAAAUAAGUUCAGAUUUUUUUAAUUGCAAAGUAUAUGAGCUUAAUUUGACACCACUGACCCUUUCAUAGCCUUGUGUUUCAGAUUUUCUCCUCCUUCCCCCACUCCAUCCCUUAGAUGGCAAGCCAUCCAGCAUAUGUUAAACAUGUGAAAAUAUAUGUCAAAUCCAGUAUCUAUAAACAUGUGUAUACAAUUCUCUUGCUGAACAAGAAAAAUCAGGUCAAAAAAAGAAAAUGAGUAAGAAAACAAAAUACAAGCAAAUAAUAAUAAGAGUGAGAAUGUUAUGUUGUGAUCCACACUCACUUCCCACAGUUCUCUUUCUGGGUGUAGCUGGCUCUCUUCAUCACAAGGUCAUUGGAACUGGCAUCAAUCAUCUUAUUUUUGGAAAGAGUCAUGUUCAUCAAAAUUGAUCAUCAUAUAAUAUUGUGUUGUGUACAAUAAUCUCCUGGUUCUGUUCAUUUCACUUAGCAUCAGUUCAUAUAAAUUGCAUGUGUAAGAUGACAGGAAAAAAUAAUGAUGAUUGUUGGAGGGGAUGUGGGAAAACUGGG
Long non-coding RNA from Sarcophilus harrisii (Tasmanian devil), 2613 nucleotides. The record is from Ensembl. Lineage: Eukaryota; Metazoa; Chordata; Mammalia; Dasyuromorphia; Dasyuridae.